CGGUUUGGAUGCGUGUGAACGAAUUGAUUCAGUCUGGAAACUCGCGACUAUACCCGAGGCCCGCCCGGGGGAGGCGCCACCGACCGGCCAGAUUUGAGAGAAAAAAGGCUGCCCGGGCACCCUGCCGUCAGCAAUUUACUUUAUGCAGCGCCAUCAGCACAUUAACAGGGACGAGAAAUAUGGAGGCUGCUUUUACACUUCAAAUCUUGAAUCUUCAGUGAAAGGUGUCUGUCCUUGCAACUUCUUGAAUAUGUGCUGUGCGACGAUUUCCUGAUUUCUUUUCUCUUGGUGCGGAAUUAUUUCAUGUCGCGUUCGCCCGGCCUAGGGGGUGCCAGUUCCGGUGACAGUGGGCGAUCGUUCAGAUUUCACUCCCUGGAUGCUCCACUCGAGCUCAACAACAACAGCGCGGCGCACGCAAGCCACGAAACCACUGGUGACCCUACUCCAAAGCCACCGCACUGGUUCCACGCAUAUCUGAAAGAAAAGCCAGGCUUGUGGAGGGGAAAAAAGUGAAGGUUUCGGGGUACAGAUCCACUUUAAAAUUCCGGUAAAAUCAACCAUCCGUCGGGGGAAGAAAAAUUAGCAGGUCCACGAGAAGGCACUCAAGUCGGAAAAAAGAGAGAAAGAUAGGUAGAAAGAAAAAAAACACGUACCUCCAUUCUAAGAAAAAGAAAUUGGAAGUAGUAACACGUACCGAGGGCAGUGUUAUCGUUGUUGAAUCAUUUGGCUCUCGUCUUGGUACAGCCGGCCCUAGUUGCGGCCUCCCGGCCAAAAGGCCAAAGCCUAUCCUGGAAAACAGAAAGCAUAGGGCGUGGCGAGAUGACGCCUGUGCACGCUCCACCAACAGCGCUUGGUCUGGUAGUGAAGGAAGGAGAUCCUCUGAAGAACACAGGCGACGGCCGACGGCCGUCGCUGGGAGGGAAAAAUUGCUUGCCCGGCUCACGCUCACGCACGCAAAGGAGCGGAGAUGGAAGUAGCCAGUAGUCACUAGUCAGUAGCCCAGAAACGUAUCCAAGACAAACUUGAAUUAGCCCUGAAAAGAGCCUGCGCCGAUCUUGUCAGAUUCUGUACCGGAUACCGGUACCGGCUCCGGCUAACGCUGCGCGGUGUGGCG
RNAcentral lists this long non-coding RNA (1114 nucleotides) under Setaria italica (foxtail millet). RNAcentral's name for it is "long non-coding RNA (SITA_LNC007282)". The record is from RNAcentral. Lineage: Eukaryota; Viridiplantae; Streptophyta; Magnoliopsida; Poales; Poaceae.